CAGUAGCCGCGGGAAUACGAAGGGUGCAAGCGUUAAUCGGAAUUACUGGGCGUAAAGCGCACGUAGGCGGCUUGGUAAGUUAGAGGUGAAAGCCUGGAGCUCAACUCCAGAAUUGCCUUUAAGACUGCCGAGCUAGCAGGUGAGAGAGGUAAGUGGAAUUCCGAGUGUAGAGGUGAAAUUCGUAGAUAUUCGGAAGAACACCAGUGGCGAAGGCGGCUUACUGGCUCAUACUGGACGCUGAGGUGCGAAAGCGUGGGGAGCAAACAGGAUUAGAUACCCCUGUAGUCCCUGUCUCUUAUAC
RNAcentral lists this ribosomal RNA (301 nucleotides) under uncultured bacterium. RNAcentral's name for it is "partial 16S ribosomal RNA". It matches the Rfam family "Bacterial small subunit ribosomal RNA", at positions 509 to 807 of the family's 1533-position model. The record is from RNAcentral.